AUACGAAGGGUGCAAGCGUUAAUCGGAAUUACUGGGCGUAAAGCGCGCGUAGGUGGUUUUGUAAGUUGGAGGUGAAAGCCCCGGGCUCAACCUGGGAAUUGCCUCCAAAACUGCAUGACUAGAGUACGGUAGAGGGUAGUGGAAUUUCCUGUGUAGCGGUGAAAUGCGUAGAUAUAGGAAGGAACACCAGUGGCGAAUGCGACUCCCUGGACGGAUACUGACUCUGAGGUGCGAAAGCGUGGGAAGCAAACAGGAUUAGAUACCCUGGUAGUCCACGUCGUAAACGAUGUCAACUAGCCGUUGGGAUCCUUGAGAUCUUAGUGGCGCAGCUAACGCAUUAAGUUGACCGCCUGGGGAGUACGGCCGCAAGGUUAAAACUCAAAUGAAUUGGCGGGG
Molecule: ribosomal RNA, 396 nt
Filed under: uncultured bacterium
Lineage: Bacteria
Description: partial 16S ribosomal RNA
Rfam family: Bacterial small subunit ribosomal RNA
Source: RNAcentral